Molecule: unclassified non-coding RNA, 348 nt
Filed under: soil metagenome
Description: partial contains 5.8S ribosomal RNA, internal transcribed spacer 2, and large subunit ribosomal RNA
Rfam family: 5.8S ribosomal RNA (bases 1-120)
Source: RNAcentral
GAUGAAGAACGUAGCGAAAUGCGAUAAGUAAUGUGAAUUGCAGAAUUCAGUGAAUCAUCGAGUCUUUGAACGCACAUUGCGCCCCCUGGUAUUCCGGGGGGCAUGCCUGUCCGAGCGUCAUUGCCGCCCUCAAGCACGGCUUGUGUGUUGGGCCCCCGCCCCCCGGCUUCGGGGGGCGGGCCCGAAAGGCAGCGGCGGCACCGCGUCCGGUCCUCGAGCGUAUGGGGCUUCGUCACCCGCUCUGUAGGCCCGGCCGGCGCCCGCCGGCGACCCCAAUCAAUCUUUCCAGGUUGACCUCGGAUCAGGUAGGGGUACCCGCUGAACUUAAGCAUAUCAAUAAGCGGAGGA